This 334-nucleotide unclassified non-coding RNA is filed under the name soil metagenome. RNAcentral's name for it is "partial contains 5.8S ribosomal RNA, internal transcribed spacer 2, and large subunit ribosomal RNA". The stretch from base 1 to 120 matches the Rfam family "5.8S ribosomal RNA", at positions 35 to 154 of the family's 154-position model. The record is from RNAcentral.
GAUGAAGAACGCAGCGAAAUGCGAUAAGUAAUGUGAAUUGCAGAAUUCAGUGAAUCAUCGAAUCUUUGAACGCUCAUUGCGACCCCCAGUAUUCUGGCGGGCAUGCCUGUUCGAGCGUCAUUUCAACCAUCAAGCCCUGCUUGUGUUGGGGUCCUGCGGCUGCCCGCAGGCCCUGAAAACCAGUGGCGGGCUCGCUAGUCACACCGAGCGCAGUAGCACAUCUCGCUCAGGGCGUGCGGCGGGCUCCAGCCGUUAAAGCACCCACCUUUCGCAAGGUUGACCUCGGAUCAGGUAGGAAUACCCGCUGAACUUAAGCAUAUCAAUAAGCGGAGGA